AAUAAGUGCAGUUUUACACUAUUCACGUUCAACGUUUGACCGUUCGUCUUAUUUAAAUUUUUUUUUAUGAUUAGUAUUUUUAUUGCUAUUAGAUGAUAAAACAUGAAUAGUACUUUAUGUGUGACUAAAUAUUUUCAAACUUUUUAUAAUUUUUUUAAAUAAGACGAACGGUCAAACGUUAGGCACGGAUAUCUAUGGCUGCACUUAUU
This is a non-coding RNA of Oryza barthii, 209 nucleotides long. NCBI's taxonomy places the organism in Eukaryota, Viridiplantae, Streptophyta, Magnoliopsida, Poales, Poaceae. The record is from Rfam.